Molecule: ribosomal RNA, 1112 nt
Filed under: uncultured Psychrobacter sp.
Lineage: Bacteria; Pseudomonadati; Pseudomonadota; Gammaproteobacteria; Moraxellales; Moraxellaceae
Description: bacterial SSU rRNA
Rfam family: Bacterial small subunit ribosomal RNA
Source: RNAcentral
AUGCCGCGUGUGUGAAGAAGGCCUUUUGGUUGUAAAGCACUUUAAGCAGUGAAGAAGACUCCGUGGUUAAUACCCAUGGACGAUGACAUUAGCUGCAGAAUAAGCACCGGCUAACUCUGUGCCAGCAGCCGCGGUAAUACAGAGGGUGCAAGCGUUAAUCGGAAUUACUGGGCGUAAAGCGAGCGUAGGUGGCUUGAUAAGUCAGAUGUGAAAUCCCCGGGCUUAACCUGGGAACUGCAUCUGAUACUGUUAGGCUAGAAUAGGUGAGAGGAAGGUAGAAUUCCAGGUGUAGCGGUGAAAUGCGUAGAGAUCUGGAGGAAUACCGAUGGCGAAGGCAGCCUUCUGGCAUCAUAUUGACACUGAGGUUCGAAAGCGUGGGUAGCAAACAGGAUUAGAUACCCUGGUAGUCCACGCCGUAAACGAUGUCUACUAGUCGUUGGGUCCCUUGAGGACUUAGUGACGCAGCUAACGCAAUAAGUAGACCGCCUGGGGAGUACGGCCGCAAGGUUAAAACUCAAAUGAAUUGACGGGGGCCCGCACAAGCGGUGGAGCAUGUGGUUUAAUUCGAUGCAACGCGAAGAACCUUACCUGGUCUUGACAUAUCUAGAAUCCUGCAGAGAUGCGGGAGUGCCUUCGGGAAUUAGAAUACAGGUGCUGCAUGGCUGUCGUCAGCUCGUGUCGUGAGAUGUUGGGUUAAGUCCCGCAACGAGCGCAACCCUUGUCCUUAGUUACCAGCGGGUUAAGCCGGGAACUCUAAGGAUACUGCCAGUGACAAACUGGAGGAAGGCGGGGACGACGUCAAGUCAUCAUGGCCCUUACGACCAGGGCUACACACGUGCUACAAUGGUAGGUACAGAGGGCAGCUACACAGCGAUGUGAUGCGAAUCUCAAAAAGCCUAUCGUAGUCCAGAUUGGAGUCUGCAACUCGACUCCAUGAAGUAGGAAUCGCUAGUAAUCGCGGAUCAGAAUGCCGCGGUGAAUACGUUCCCGGGCCUUGUACACACCGCCCGUCACACCAUGGGAGUUGAUUGCACCAGAAGUGGAUAGCUAACCUGGAAGGCGUUCACCACGGUGUGGUUGAUGACUGGGGUGAAGUCGUAACAAGGUAACCA